CGUGUGUGAGAGGUCUUCGGAUUGUAAAGCUCUUUUCUUUUGGAGGAAGGGCAGUAAGUUAAUACCUUGCUGUUUUGACCUUUCCAACAGAAUAAGCACCGGCUAACUUCGUGCCAGCAGCCGCGGUA
RNAcentral lists this ribosomal RNA (128 nucleotides) under uncultured bacterium. RNAcentral's name for it is "partial 16S ribosomal RNA". It matches the Rfam family "Bacterial small subunit ribosomal RNA", at positions 400 to 522 of the family's 1533-position model. The record is from RNAcentral.